This 497-nucleotide ribosomal RNA is filed under the name uncultured bacterium. RNAcentral describes it as "partial 16S ribosomal RNA". It matches the Rfam family "Bacterial small subunit ribosomal RNA", at positions 28 to 507 of the family's 1533-position model. The record is from RNAcentral.
GAUGAACGCUGGCGGCGUGCCUAAUACAUGCAAGUCGAGCGAACGGACGAGAAGCUUGCUUCUCUGAUGUUAGCGGCGGACGGGUGAGUAACACGUGGAUAACCUACCUAUAAGACUGGGAUAACUUCGGGAAGCCGGAGCUAAUACCGGAUAAUAUUUUGAACCGCAUGGUUCAAAAGUGAAAGACGGUCUUGCUGUCACUUAUAGAUGGAUCCGCGCUGCAUUAGCUAGUUGGUAAGGUAACGGCUUACCAAGGCAACGAGGCAUAGCCGACCUGAGAGGGUGAUCGGCCACACUGGAACGGAGACACGGUCCAGACUCCUACGGGAGGCAGCAGUAGGGAAUCUUCCGCAAUGGGCGAAAGCCUGACGGAGCAACGCCGCGUGAGUGAUGAAGGUCUUCGGAUCGUAAAACUCUGUUAUUAGGGAAGAACAUAUGUGUAAGUAACUGUGCACAUCUUGACGGUACCUAAUCAGAAAGCCACGGCUAACUACGUG